RNAcentral lists this ribosomal RNA (496 nucleotides) under uncultured bacterium. RNAcentral describes it as "partial 16S ribosomal RNA". It matches the Rfam family "Bacterial small subunit ribosomal RNA", at positions 30 to 523 of the family's 1533-position model. The record is from RNAcentral.
AUUGAACGCUGGCGGCAUGCUUUACACAUGCAAGUCGAACGGUAGAGGGGGCAACCCCUUGAGAGUGGCGAACGGGUGAGUAAUGCAUCGGAACGUGCCCCGUCGUGGGGGAUAACGCAGCGAAAGCUGUGCUAAUACCGCAUACGAUCUCUGGAUGAAAGCGGGGGACCGAAAGGCCUCGCGCGAUUGGAGCGGCCGAUGUCCGAUUAGGUAGUUGGUGGGGUAAAGGCUCACCAAGCCAACGAUCUGUAGCUGGUCUGAGAGGACGACCAGCCACACUGGCACUGAGACACGGCCCAGACUCCUACGGGAGGCAGCAGUGGGGAAUUUUGGACAAUGGGCGCAAGCCUGAUCCAGCAAUGCCGCGUGCAGGAAGAAGGCCUUCGGGUUGUAAACUGCUUUUGUACGGAACGAAAAGGUCUGGGUUAAUACCCUGGGCACAUGACGGUACCGUAAGAAUAAGCACCGGCUAACUUCGUGCCAGCAGCCGCGGUAA